AGGUGUUAAGAGUGCCAGCUGCGUGAGGUUCUAAACACACAAGUUGGAAAAGCACAAAUAUAAGGUGGGGUGGCAGCCGUCCUCCAGGCACUCAACAGAAGGAACAACCACUGAGGCACUGACGGCCCCCAGGUAGUUCAUCCCCAGGUGUGCCAGGUGUUAAGAGUGCCAGCUGCGUGAGGUUCUAA
Eriocheir sinensis (Chinese mitten crab) is the source of this 188-nucleotide long non-coding RNA. RefSeq lists it as uncharacterized. The record is from RefSeq and is a predicted model, not a curated record. The transcript is spliced from 2 exons. Lineage: Eukaryota; Metazoa; Arthropoda; Malacostraca; Decapoda; Varunidae.